RNAcentral lists this ribosomal RNA (533 nucleotides) under bacterium enrichment culture clone 1A02. Its description in RNAcentral is "bacterial SSU rRNA". It matches the Rfam family "Bacterial small subunit ribosomal RNA", at positions 8 to 536 of the family's 1533-position model. The record is from RNAcentral.
AGAGUUUGAUCCUGGCUCAGAUUGAACGCUGGCGGCAGGCCUAACACAUGCAAGUCGAGCGGAAACGAAGAGGUGCUUGCACCUCUGGCGUCGAGCGGCGGACGGGUGAGUAAUGCUUGGGAACAUGCCUUGAGGUGGGGGACAACCGUUGGAAACGACGGCUAAUACCGCAUAAUCUCUACGGAGCAAAGGGGGCUUAGGCUCUCGCCUUUAGAUUGGCCCAAGUGGGAUUAGCUAGUUGGUGAGGUAAUGGCUCACCAAGGCGACGAUCCCUAGCUGGUUUGAGAGGAUGAUCAGCCACACUGGGACUGAGACACGGCCCAGACUCCUACGGGAGGCAGCAGUGGGGAAUAUUGCACAAUGGGCGCAAGCCUGAUGCAGCCAUGCCGCGUGUGUGAAGAAGGCCUUCGGGUUGUAAAGCACUUUCAGCAAGGAGGAAAGGUUAGUAGUUAAUACCUGCUAGCUGUGACGUUACUUGCAGAAGAAGCACCGGCUAACUCCGUGCCAGCAGCCGCGGUAAUACGGAGGGUGCG